CUUUAACUCUGAAUACAAUCCCUGGUAUACACUAAAAGAAUACUUCCAAGGAGAAAAACCUCUAUCAUAGAAUUUCCUUCUAAAGAUAUUGAGUGUAAACUUCUUUAACUGCUAUUCUGGCUAGCAGAAUCUUAGAGCUGUGGACUUCUGGAACUGUGAGGAGUAAACAUUUGUUGUUUAAAUCAUCCAGUUUAAGGUAUUUUGUUAUAGCAGGCCCAGCUAUAAGACACCAAGGGAAUAUUUGCACCUUUGAUUUCAUUGUUAGUUCUUUUACCAGCCUCAGCCUUUAAUUCUUAAAAGUUCAACUGAGGCAUUGACUCUCAGUCUCUCUUAACCUCCUUUUUGUGUGGGCUAUCUCUAUAUCCCCAUGGCACUUGUGUGGCCUCAGUCAUAGGGCCUAUCACAAUUCGGUGUGAUUUAUGAAACAUAUUUGAAUGCCUAUAAGGUACUGUUUCAAGCACUCAGGAAUAUCAGUGGACAAAUCAAAAUGCUUCUACCCUUCUGAGGAAAGACAUAAUAAACAAUAAACCAUCAUACAUAAGUAAAUUUUAUAGUAUAUAGUAUAUUAUAUACUGGGAUAAGGAAAAUACAGAAUAGCUUAGAGGGAAUGAGGUGUACUGGGGCUGGAAGAGGUUCAGAUUGCAGUCUUUAACAGGGUGGUCAAAGUAGGCUUUGAUGAGGACAUGAGAUUUGAGCAAAGUCUAGAAGAAGAUGAGGGAGCUAACUGUGCAGGCCUAGAGGAGGAGGAUACCUGGAAGAGGGAAGAGCUAGCACAAAGACCCCAUGGGAAGGACAAACCUUGAAAGACUGAGAAACAGCCAGCGAAGUAUGGAGCAACAUGCAACAGACAUGAGGAAAGACGGAGAAAGGGGAAUCAGGGAGCCUCAAUUUUGUAGACCUGGGGGCCAUUGCAAACACUUUCACUGUAAGUGAAAUGGGAAUGGUUUUUUAGUAGAGGGGAAAUAUGGUCUGACUGAGUACUGCAAGAUUUGCUCUGGCCACUGUGUUGAGAACAGGAUUGUAGCGGGGCCAACAUGAAAGCAGAAAAACCUGUUAAGAGAUAAUUAUAGGCAAGAGAUGAAGAGAUGGUAAGGCCACAGGCCAGAACAGUAGCAGCAGAGGAGGGCAGAUUCUGGAUUUAAAGCCUCAUUGAAUUGGAUAUGGGGUGUAAGAGACAGAAAAGAUCCAAGGAGGACUCCAGGGAUUUUUGUCCUGAAGAACUGCAAU
RNAcentral lists this long non-coding RNA (1227 nucleotides) under Marmota monax (woodchuck). Lineage: Eukaryota; Metazoa; Chordata; Mammalia; Rodentia; Sciuridae. The record is from RNAcentral.